Molecule: long non-coding RNA, 332 nt
Filed under: Elaeis guineensis (African oil palm)
Lineage: Eukaryota; Viridiplantae; Streptophyta; Magnoliopsida; Arecales; Arecaceae
Description: long non-coding RNA (EGUI_LNC020313)
Source: RNAcentral
GCUAGCUCAGUUUGUUAAUGAGCCGACUCAAUUUUGUAGGUUGAAAAAUUGAUUUCUCUAUUAAGCUGACUCAAAUUGUGCAGGCUCGAAAAAUUAUUUUCUAUUUAUCUCAGAUUGAGUCGACACAAACUUUUAGAUAGAAUUAUUUUACAUAAAUAUUAAUGUAAAAGAGUUUAUAUUUAAAAUUAUUUCAUCUUUCUACACUUAAUUAAGAAUUAAGAGUUAAAACUUUAGAUCUAGAAUUGUGAUUUAAAGAUCUAAAGACAUUGCAUAAAUUAUGGGGCUAUGUGUUAGCUUGAAUCAGGUUAUUUAACUGGGUUAGACCUAGGGUU